CAGUAGGGUGUUUGAAUCCCCCCCCAAAGGAUGAACAUCUGUCAACAAGGUGGUUCAUUGGCAUUCUGCUGUGAAGAGGGAAGAAAUCUGCCUGUAGCAACACAGCAAUGGCAAGGAAAGUCAUCAUAUCAGGACAAAGCUGAACACACUCGCCCAGACUGGAGCUGCAGUCAAGUCAGCCUGCACUUUACCUGUGCUCUGGCCACUCACUGCCAUCCUACUGGAGUUACUGCAAGUCUGAAGAGGAGAAGUUGUGGUGACAGUAAAGGACGAACAGCAGCAAAGAGCAGAACGAGAGGGGACAUCAUCUUGGCUCAAAUACUGGGAAGACGUCUGAGGUAUUUCCAGAGAAAUGUUCUGAGAACGUCUGAGCUGUUGAAAAGAAAUCUAAAGUGAAUGGAUAACAACUGGAGAAAAUGGGUUGAAAGGAAGAGAGUCCAAAAAGGAGAUAGGAGUAGGAUAUAAGGCAAUUUGGAAGAUGGCUGAAAUACUUCGAACGACUGAGGAGAAAACUGAACAACUAAAAAUGUAGAGGGGAAAACCAAAAAAAUUCAAGCAUUAAGCAAUAAAGAGAAAUGAGCAAAAUAAAUGCAUAAGACUAAAAGUGGAAAAGAGGAAAGAAUGAAAGAUAGGAGAGAAAGCAUAUGAAUGGAUUGAUGACAAAGGACAAACAGGAACGCAAGAAGUGGAUGGAUGUGUAAAUUAAUUUGGAGAGACAUCAUGUCCUUAACAUUGUCAUGUGGGCAUGAUGUGAGUUUUACUGACAACUUCAAAGUGAGCGGGACAGGGGAAUAUUCAGGAGUCAUAAACUACAGAUGAAUCUGGGUAGUUCAGAACUGACGACAUCAGAUUUUGGAAAUGGGCUUGUGAAAUACUGUUCGAAGUAGAAAACAGAUAAACUGACCGGUGCCAGGACCUGGGGUUUGUUUUGGUGGAGAGAAUCCAAAUCUCAUGCUGCUCUACUAAUGAGCUGGUGCUUGUAGUCUUAGUUUGGCUUUCUUUAGUAAAUUCUAUAAAGGGAAUGAAAUUCAAAAUCAGUAUUGGUUUUGAGUUUGAGAAGGCUUGUAUUUCUUCAAACGUGUAUCUUAAGUAAUCCAGGCCUUACCUGGACUCUUUGAACCCUCAAAAUUAAGCUGGAAAGAAUCUUUGAAAGCUGAGAUCAGUUAUUUAUAUCAGAAAAUUUUCUAGCCAAUGUUAAGGUAGCAACUCUAUUAUCCAAGAUCAGGGCUAGACAAUAUCUCGAGGCUUUCCUAUUUUCCAUACCAUUCUUUGACUGCUCUGAGUGCUAGUUUGAAACCGCUCAGUGUGUGAACUUCCGCUCAACACAAGACAGCGCUUCUUUUUCUCCAAAAAUUCCUUGCAUGGCUCUAAGGAUGAGAC
This 1380-nucleotide long non-coding RNA is filed under the name Strigops habroptila (Kakapo). RNAcentral's name for it is "lncRNA (ENSSHBG00005018094.1)". The record is from RNAcentral. Lineage: Eukaryota; Metazoa; Chordata; Aves; Psittaciformes; Psittacidae.